AGAUAUCAGGGUCACAAGGUCUAAACCCACAUGAGCUUGCUCAUAAGUGGGUUUAGACCUUGUGACCCGCCCCAAUAUCUUUUUUAGUACAGCAACUCAGAUACUACAAACACAGGGCAUUUGCCCGGAUUGGAGAUUUUU
This 141-nucleotide small RNA is filed under the name Eubacterium sp. CAG:38. RNAcentral describes it as "Clostridiales-1 RNA". It matches the Rfam family "Clostridiales-1 RNA". Lineage: Bacteria; Bacillati; Bacillota; Clostridia; Eubacteriales; Eubacteriaceae. The record is from Rfam by way of RNAcentral.